AGGCGUGAUGACGAGGCACUACGGUGCUGAAGCAACAAAUGCCCUGCUUCCAGGAAAAGCCUCUAAGCAUCAGGUAACAUCAAAUCGUACCCCAAACCGACACAGGUGGUCAGGUAGAGAAUACCAAGGCGCUUGAGAGAACUCGGGUGAAGGAACUAGGCAAAAUGGUGCCGUAACUUCGGGAGAAGGCACGCUGAUAUGUAGGUGAAGUCCCUCGCGGAUGGAGCUGAAAUCAGUCGAAGAUACCAGCUGGCUGCAACUGUUUAUUAAAAACACAGCACUGUGCAAACACGAAAGUGGACGUAUACGGUGUGACGCCUGCCCGGUGC
RNAcentral lists this ribosomal RNA (329 nucleotides) under Escherichia coli. Its description in RNAcentral is "partial 23S ribosomal RNA". It matches the Rfam family "Bacterial large subunit ribosomal RNA", at positions 1559 to 1869 of the family's 2925-position model. Lineage: Bacteria; Pseudomonadati; Pseudomonadota; Gammaproteobacteria; Enterobacterales; Enterobacteriaceae. The record is from RNAcentral.